UAAGGAAUAUUGCACAAUGGGGGAAACCCUGAUGCAGCAACGCCGCGUGAGCGAAGAAGGCCUUCGGGUCGUAAAGCUCUUUUCUGGGGGACGAGGAAGGACGGUACCUCAGGAAUAAGUCUCGGCUAACUACGUGCCAGCAGCCGCGGUAAAACGUAGGAGGCGAGCGUUAUCCGGAUUUACUGGGCGUAAAGGGCAAGUAGGCGGUGGCCAAAGUUGGGCGUGACAAUUCUCGGCUUAACUGAGAAAGGACGUUCAAAACUAGGCGACUAGAGGGCAGGAGAGGGAAGCGGAAUUCCUAGUGUAGCGGUGGAAUGCUCAGAUAUUAGGAAGAACACCAGUGGCGAAAGCGGCUUCCUGGCCUGUACCUGACGCUGAGAGGCGAAAGCUAGGGUAGCAAACG
Molecule: ribosomal RNA, 403 nt
Filed under: uncultured prokaryote
Description: bacterial SSU rRNA
Rfam family: Bacterial small subunit ribosomal RNA
Source: RNAcentral